UUAUUUUUUAAUAAUUAAUUUUUAUAUAAUUUUUAUAUAAUUAAUAUUUUAGUUAUUUAUAGGAAUAAAUAUUAUAAUAUAAUAAUAUUUUAAUAAUGAUAAAAUAAGUAUUUUAUAUAUAUAAAAUAUAGUAACUCGGCAAAUAUUAUUUUCGCCUGUUUAACAAAAACAUGGUCUUUUGUUUAUAUAAAAGAUCUAACCUGCCCUAUGAUUUAUUUAAAUGGCUGCAGUAUUUUGACUGUACAAAGGUAGCAUAAUCAUUUGUCUUUUAAUUGAAGGCUUGUAUGAAUGGUUGGAUGAAAAAUAUACUUUCUUUAUUUUAUAUAAAAAAUUUAAUUUUCUAGUCAAAAAGCUAGGAUUUUUUUAUAGGACGAGAAGACCCUAUAGAACUUUAUUUUCUUUUUUUAUAAACUUUAUAGGUAAAUAUAAGUUUAUAUAUUUUUGUUAAUUUUGUUGGGGUGAUUGAAAAAAUUUUUUAACUUUUUCUAUUUUUUACAUUUAUAUAUGUUUUUUUGAUCCUUUAUUAUGGAAUAAAAGAUUAAGUUACCUUAGGGAUAACAGCGUUAUUUUUUUGGAGAGUUCUUAUCGAUAAAAAAGUUUGCGACCUCGAUGUUGG
This 616-nucleotide ribosomal RNA is filed under the name Apolygus lucorum. RNAcentral's name for it is "partial 16S ribosomal RNA". The stretch from base 147 to 306 matches the Rfam family "Bacterial large subunit ribosomal RNA", at positions 1791 to 2013 of the family's 2925-position model. The record is from RNAcentral. Lineage: Eukaryota; Metazoa; Arthropoda; Insecta; Hemiptera; Miridae.